Vigna unguiculata (cowpea) is the source of this 1002-nucleotide long non-coding RNA. RefSeq lists it as uncharacterized. Lineage: Eukaryota; Viridiplantae; Streptophyta; Magnoliopsida; Fabales; Fabaceae. The record is from RefSeq and is a predicted model, not a curated record.
UCUUCUCUCCCUCCUACGCACCCUUUCGUCUUCUCUCCCUCCUACGCACGCUUUCGUCUUCUCUCCCUCAUAAACACCCUUUAUGCUCCUCCUCCCUCUUAAAAACCCUUUCCGCUCUUCCAUUUUUUCGAUUCCACAAGAAAAAAAAUGAGGUUCGGAGAAACACGACUUGGAGGUUGCUGUUGACAGAGGAUAUUGUUGAAGUAUUUUUUAGGUUUGGGGCUUUUGUUUUUUCCCAGACUCAACCGAAAUUUUUCUGUUAAUUUUUUGGGAACUUUUGGUUUUAAAUUUUGCAGGUUCGGAGAAACAAGACUUGGAGGUAAAGAUUUAAGGUGGUUUGUAAAAAGGAGUUAAAAAAGAUUCAAUUUUUAGUCUUUUUUUUUUUAAUUUUUAUGCUUCAAAUGCUUCUCAUCUUUUGGUUUACCUUGUCAGUAGCAGCAUUUUCGAUCUAUGUUGCUUUGUGUUAUUUUCAAGAGAAGUUUGUUAUUCUUGAUGGUCGUUUUUGGAAUUUAUUCCAUGAAGAUUUUAAGAGUUGUUGAAGAGAAGAUCGAAGGUUGUUUUUAGAGAACAAGACGAAGUUCUCAACCAAAAAGAUGAAAAAGAGAAGCUGGGUGGGAAGCAAACGCAAAACAAGUUAGGAGUAGGAUUGAAGAAAAAGGAUGAGAAAGAAGCCCAGAUGCAGCAUAAUAGAGGUGGAUAAUGAAGUUGAAGAGUUUCUUGCAGGUGAUCAUUCUCAUCCACAAGCACAGGAGAUGUGCAGAUUACUGGAUUCCAUUCUCAAGAUGGGAAUUUUGGAGCACUUCUGAUGAGUGUGAGCUAUUGUUUACUAUUGUAUUGUUUUCUUACAUGCUUUAGGUUAAUUAUAGUUAUUUGCAAGAACCUUGGACAUGAAAAGAAAAUCAAAUAUAAAUUGUGGUUCCUUUAUUGUUGAAUUUAUGAGGACAGUAGCUCCACCAGGAGAAAAAGAGCAAAAGAAAGAAAGGAAAGGACACACAGGAUAUU